RNAcentral lists this transfer RNA (65 nucleotides) under Lucidina sp. FM13. RNAcentral's name for it is "tRNA-Phe". Lineage: Eukaryota; Metazoa; Arthropoda; Insecta; Coleoptera; Lampyridae. The record is from RNAcentral.
AUUUUAAUAGCUUAUUUAGAGUAUGAUAUUGAAGAUAUCAGGGAAAUAAUUUUUAUUUUAAAAUA